AAUUUUUGGUUCAUUUUGAGGGAAUUUUAGGGAAUUUUUAGGGGAAUUUUUUGGGAAUUUUGGGUUCAUUUUUAGGGAGAAUUGUUGGGAAUUUCAGGUUUAUUUUUAAGGGAUUUUGGGGAAUUUUUUAGGAAUUUUGGGUUUAUUUUUAGGGGGAAUUUUCCGGAAUUUUUAAGGGAUUUUUUUGGGAUUUUGGGUUUAUUUUUAGGGGGAAUUUUCGGGAAUUUUUGGGUUUAUUUUUAGGGAAUUUUUGGGAAUUUUUAGGGGAAUUUUUAGGGGAUUUUUGGGGCUUUUUUAAGAGAUUUUUUUGGAUUUUUUGGGAUUUUGGGUUUAUUUUUAGGGGGAAUUUUUAGGGAAUUUUUGGGAAUUUUUAGGGGAAUUUUUAGGGGAUUUUUGGGUUUUUUUAAAAGGGAUUUUUGGGGGAUUUUUUUUGGAUUUUGGAUUUAUUUUUAAGGGGAAUUUUUGGGAAUGUUUGGGUUUAUUUUUAGGGAAUUUUUGGGAAUUUUUAGGGGAACUUUUUGGGAAUUUUGGGGUUUUUUUAAAAGGGAUUUUUUUGGGAUUUUUUAGGAAUUUUGGGUUUAUUUUUAAGGGGAAUUUUCGGGAAUUUUUAGUUUUAUUUUUAGGGAAUUUUAGGGAAUUUUUGGGAAUUUUUAGGGGAUUUUUUGGGUUUUUUAAAGAGAUUUUUGGGGGAUUUUUUGGGAAUUUUGGGGUCAUUUUUAGGGAAUUUUUUUUGGAUUUUGGGUUUAUUUUUAUGGGGAAUUUUUGGGAAUUUUUAUGGGAAUUUUUGGGUUUUUUUUAGGGAAUUUUCCGGAAUUUUUGGGGAAUUUUUUUGGGAUUUUUUCGGGAUUUUGGGUUUAUUUUUAUGGGGAAUUUUCGGGAAUUUUUGGGUUUAUUUUUAGGGAAUUUUUGGGAAUUUUUAGGGGAAUUUUUAGGGGAUUUUUGGGGCUUUUUUAAGAGAUUUUUUUGGAUUUUUUGGGAUUUUGGGUUUAUUUUUAGGGGGAAUUUUUAGGGAAUUUUUGGGAAUUUUUAGGAGAAUUUUUAGGAAUUUUUGGUUCAUUUUGAGGGAAUUUUAGGGAAUUUUUAGGGGAAUUUUUUGGGAAUUUUGGGCUCAUUUUUAGGGAGAAUUGUUGGGAAUUUCAGGUUUAUUUUUAAGGGAUUUUGGGGAAUUUUUUAGGAAUUUUGGGUUUAUUUUUAGGGGAUUUUUUGGGGAUUUUUUGGGAAUUUUGGGGUCUUUUUUAAGGAAUUUUUUUGGGAUUUUGGGUUUAUUUUUUUAGGGAAUUUUUGGGAAUUUUUAGGGAAUUUUUGGGAAUUUUUAGGGGAUUUUUUGGGUUUUUUUAAAAGGGAUUUUUGGGGGAUUUUUUGGGAAUUUUGGGGUCAUUUUUAGGGAAUUUUUUUUGGAUUUUGGGUUUAUUUUUAUGGGGAAUUUUUGGGAAUUUUUAUGGGAAUUUUUGGGGUUUUUUUAGGGAAUUUUCCGGAAUUUUUAGGGGAAUUUUUAGGGGAAUUUUUUGGAAUUUUUGGGUUUUUUUAAAAGGGAUUUUUUGGGAAUUUUUUGGGAAUUUUGGGUUUAUUUUUAUGGGGAAUUUUUAGGGAUUUUUUGGGAAUUUUUAGGAGAAUUUUUUUGAAAUUUUGGGUUCAUUUUUAGGGAAUUUUAGGGAAUUUUUCGGGGAAUUUUUUGGGAAUUUUGGGAUCAUUUUUAGGGAGAAUUGUUGGGAAUUUCAGGUUUAUUUUUAAGGGAUUUUGGGGAAUUUUUUUGGAAUUUUGGGUUCAUUUUUAGGGGGAAUUUUGAGGAAUUUUUGGGUUCAUUUUUAGGGAAUUUUCCAGAAUUUUUAAGGGAAUUUUUUGGGAAUUUUGGGGGGUUUUUAAAAGGGAUUUUUUGGGGAUUUUUUGGGAAUUUUGGGUUAAUUUUUAGGGAAUUUUUGGGGAUUUUUGGGAAUUUUUAGGAGAAUUUUUAUGAAUUUUUGGUUCAUUUUUAGGGAAUUUUUGGGGGAAUUUUGGGGAAUUUUGGGGUUUUUUAAAAGGGAUUUUUUGGGAAUUUUGGGUUCAUUUUUAGGAAAUUUUUGGUAAUUUCUUGGGGGAAUUUUUGGUAAUUUGGGGUUUAUUUUUAGAGAUUUUUUGGGAAUUUUUGGGGGAAUUUUUGGGAAUUUUGGGUUCAUUUUUCGGGAUUUUUUGGGAAUUUUUACGGGAAUUUUUUGGGGGAUUUUUUAGGAAUUUUGGGUUCAUUUUUAGGGAUUUUUUGGGAAUUUUUGGGGGAAUUUUUGGGGGAAUUUUUGGGAAUUUUUUGGGGAAUUUUUGGGAAUUUUGGGUUCAUUUUUAGGGAUUUUUUGGGAAUUUUUGGGGGAAUUUUUGGGGGAAUUUUUGGGAAUUUUUGGGGGAAUUUUUGGGAAUUUUGGGUUCAUUUUUAUGGAUUUUUUGGGAAUUUUUUUGGGUAAUUUUUGGGAAUUUUGGGUUAAUUUUUAGGGAAUCUUUGGGGGAAUUUUUGGGAAUUUUGGGUUAAUUUUUAGGGGUUUUUUGGGAAUUUUUGGGGGAAUUUUUGGGAAUUUUGUGUUUAUUUUUCGGGAUUUUUUUGGAAUUUUUGGGGGAUUUUUUAGGAAUUUUGGGUUUAUUUUCAGGAACUUUUUAGGAAUUUUUAUGGGAAUUUUUUGGGGGAAUUUUUGGGAAUUUUGGGUUCAUUUUUGGGAAUUUUGGGUUUAUUUUUAAAGGGUUUUUUUUGGGAAUUUUUGGGAAUUUUGGGUUUAUUAGUCGGGAUUUUUUGGGAAUUUUUGGGAGAAUUUUUGGGGGAUUUUUUAGGAAUUUUGGGUUUAUUUUUAGGAACAUUUUGGGAAUUUUUGGGGGAAUUUUUGGGAAUUUUGGCUUCAUUUUUAGGGAUUUUUUGGGAAUUUUGGGGGGAAUUUUUGGGAAUUUUGGGUUCAUUUUUAUGGAGUUUUUGGGGGGAAAUUUUGGGGUUUUGGGAACUUUUGGGAAUUUCCCUCCGAAUUUAACAAAUUCCAGGAAUUUUUCCCCCCUAAAAUCCGCUGGAAUUCCCCAAGCCCCGCCCACUUCCGGAAUAAACCACGCC
Long non-coding RNA from Cyanistes caeruleus (blue tit), 3055 nucleotides. The record is from Ensembl. Lineage: Eukaryota; Metazoa; Chordata; Aves; Passeriformes; Paridae.